CGCAAGCCUGACGGAGCAACGCCGCGUGAGGGAGGAAGGCCUGUGGGUUGUAAACCUCUUUUCUCAGGGAAGAAGAUCUGACGGUACCUGAGGAAUCAGCAUCGGCUAACUCCGUGCCAGCAGCCGCGGUAAGACGGAGGAUGCAAGCGUUAUCCGGAAUUAUUGGGCGUAAAGCGUCCGUAGGCGGCUGUUCAAGUCUGCUGUCAAAGCCCACAGCUCAACUGUGGAGAGGCAGUGGAAACUGAAUAGCUAGAGUGUGGUAGGGGCAGAGGGAAUUCCUGGUGUAGCGGUGAAAUGCGUAGAUAUCAGGAAGAACACCAGUGGCGAAGGCGCUCUGCUGGGUCAUAACUGACGCUGAUGGACGAAAGCUAGGGGAGCG
Molecule: ribosomal RNA, 379 nt
Filed under: uncultured cyanobacterium
Lineage: Bacteria; Bacillati; Cyanobacteriota
Description: bacterial SSU rRNA
Rfam family: Bacterial small subunit ribosomal RNA
Source: RNAcentral